UCAUUUAUUCCACCAAUUAAAGCACAUUUUUAUAAAUACCAAAUUCAUUAAUAUGUAAAAACCUAAACUAACCUUACAUUUAUCUUCAACCAUCAUCUCCUCUUUUUCCACGCCGAGAUCCAUCUCGUCUCUUUCCAUAUCAAUCUUCUCUCUCCGUCGAGAUCCAUCGCCAUCUCUCUCUCACGCAGCCGCCGACGAUCGAUUACAGAGAACCGAUCAAAACUUCCAAAAUAUCGACUCUUGUACGAGAUUCACAACUUUUAGAUAGCAAUGAAUUUUGAAAUAGGAGAAGACACAAGAUGAAGAAGAGCAACAAGUGGAAGCUGAUACUGAAGUCGAAAAGACAAAGUUCAAAAAUCAAUGAAAUAAGCUAAUUUAUAAAUCUUUAUAAACUGAGACUGUCAGUUUUAAAAUUAUAAGCCUUUUAAAUCUGUUAUUGUUUUAUAAAUUGAUAAAGCUAAUUGAUGUGUAUGAACCUUUAUAAUAGGAUCAGAUAGAGGAGGAAGAAGGACAACAUGUAGAAGGUGAUACAGAAGUUGUUGACAGUGGUAAAAGAAGUGAAAUUUCAAAAAAAAUGAUGAAGAUAAAGAAGUAAAUGAAGAUGCAUCCAAAGAGCCCGGGAAAGUUAAAGUGAAGAAACAAGGAAAAAGAAAGAAGGGUCGGAUGGAAGAGGUUGAAGAAGUAAAUGAAGAUACAUCGAACGUGUGCGGGAAAAUUAUAAACAAGAAAAUGCAAAUUAAAAAAGAACAUACGAGGAAGAGGAAAAAAUGUAAAAGAAAUUUAAGAUCUAUUUACAAUGGUUUAUAGCAUUCUCUUUCACAUUUCAUUGAGUAUGUCCAAAGGAAAACAUGCAUGUUUACAAGUUCAUA
This is a long non-coding RNA of Brassica oleracea var. oleracea, 869 nucleotides long. RefSeq lists it as uncharacterized. The record is from RefSeq and is a predicted model, not a curated record. The transcript has 4 exons. Lineage: Eukaryota; Viridiplantae; Streptophyta; Magnoliopsida; Brassicales; Brassicaceae.